GGGGAAUAUUGGGCAAUGGGCGAAAGCCUGACCCAGCAACGCCGCGUGAUUGAAGAAGGUCUUCGGAUUGUAAAGAUCUGUCCUAUGGGAAGAAAAAAAUGACGGUACCAUAGGAGGAAGCCCCGGCUAACUACGUGCCAGCAGCCGCGGUAAUACGUAGGGGGCGAGCGUUGUCCGGAAUUACUGGGCGUAAAGGGUGCGUAGGCGGUUUUUUAAGUCAGAUGUGAAAUACCCGGGCUUAACCUGGGGGGUGCAUUUGAAACUGGGGAACUUGAGUGCAGGAGAGGAAAGUGGAAUUCCUAGUGUAGCGGUGAAAUGCGUAGAUAUUAGGAGGAACACCAGUGGCGAAGGCGACUUUCUGGACUGUAACUGACGCUGAGGCACGAAAGCGUGGGGAGCAAAC
RNAcentral lists this ribosomal RNA (403 nucleotides) under uncultured bacterium. Its description in RNAcentral is "bacterial SSU rRNA". It matches the Rfam family "Bacterial small subunit ribosomal RNA", at positions 356 to 773 of the family's 1533-position model. The record is from RNAcentral.